Molecule: transfer RNA, 75 nt
Filed under: Candidatus Rehaiarchaeum fermentans
Lineage: Archaea; Nanobdellati; Candidatus Parvarchaeota
Description: tRNA-Arg
Rfam family: tRNA
About the family: Transfer RNA (tRNA) molecules are approximately 80 nucleotides in length.
Source: RNAcentral
GCGCCCGUAGUUUAGCCCGGACAGAACGGCUGCCUUCUAAGCAGCAUGUCGCAGGUUCAAAUCCUGCCGGGCGCA